GGAAGAGUGCAGGAGUGGUUGAACUGGCACGCCUGGAAAGUGUGUAUAGGUGAAAGCCUAUCAAGGGUUCGAAUCCCUUCUCUUCCGCAA
RNAcentral lists this transfer RNA (90 nucleotides) under Chitinophaga terrae (ex Kim and Jung 2007). RNAcentral describes it as "Chitinophaga terrae Kim and Jung 2007 tRNA_Ser_GGA". It matches the Rfam family "tRNA". From Rfam's summary of the family: Transfer RNA (tRNA) molecules are approximately 80 nucleotides in length. Their secondary structure includes four short double-helical elements and three loops (D, anti-codon, and T loops). The record is from RNAcentral. Lineage: Bacteria; Pseudomonadati; Bacteroidota; Chitinophagia; Chitinophagales; Chitinophagaceae.